AUUGAACGCUGGCGGCAGGCUUCACACAUGCAAGUCGAACGAGUGGCGGACGGGUGAGUAAUGUCUGUGAAACUGCCUGAUUUAGGGGAUUAACUACUGGAAACGGUAGCUAAUACCGCAUACCAUCAGAUGUGCCCAGCUGGGAUUAGCUAGUUGGUGGGGUAUAGGCUCACCAAGGCGACGAUCCCUAGCUGGGCUGAGAGGAUGACCAGCCACACUGGAACUGGGACACGGGCCAGACUCCUACGGGAGGCAGCAGUGGGGAAUAUUGGACAAUGGACGCAAGCCUGAUGCAGCCAUGCCGCGUGUAUGAAGAAGGCCUUCGGGUUGUAAAGUACUUUCAGCGGGGAGGCGUUACCCGCAGAAGAAGCACCGGCGAACUCCGUGCCAGCAGCCGCGGUAAUUC
RNAcentral lists this ribosomal RNA (406 nucleotides) under uncultured bacterium. RNAcentral describes it as "partial 16S ribosomal RNA". It matches the Rfam family "Bacterial small subunit ribosomal RNA", at positions 30 to 526 of the family's 1533-position model. The record is from RNAcentral.